UGCAAGUCGAGGGGUAGAGUUAGCUUGCUAGCUUGAGACCGGCGCACGGGUGCGUAACGCGUAUGCAACCUACCUUAAUCAGGGGGAUAGCCCGAAGAAAUUCGGAUUAACACCGCAUAAAAUCACAGAAUAGCAUUAUUCAAUGAUCAAAUAUUUAUAGGAUUAAGAUGGGCAUGCGUGUCAUUAGCUAGUUGGCGGGGUAACGGCCCACCAAGGCGACGAUGACUAGGGGAUCUGAGAGGAUGACCCCCCACACUGGUACUGAGACACGGACCAGACUCCUACGGGAGGCAGCAGUAAGGAAUAUUGGUCAAUGGAGGCAACUCUGAACCAGCCAUGCCGCGUGCAGGAAGACUGCCCUAUGGGUUGUAAACUGCUUUUAUCUGGGAAUAAACCUAUUUACGUGUAGAUAGCUGAAUGUACCAGAAGAAUAAGGAUCGGCUAACUCCGUGCCAGCAGCCGCGGUAAUACGGAGGAUCCAAGCGUUAUCCGGAUUUAUUGGGUUUAAAGGGUGCGUAGGCGGCCUGUUAAGUCAGAGGUGAAAGACGGUAGCUCAACUAUCGCAGUGCCUUUGAUACUGAUGGGCUUGAAUGGACUAGAGGUAGGCGGAAUGAGACAAGUAGCGGUGAAAUGCAUAGAUAUGUCUCAGAACACCGAUUGCGAAGGCAGCUUACUAUGGUUUUAUUGACGCUGAGGCACGAAAGCGUGGGGAUCAAACAGGAUUAGAUACCCUGGUAGUCCACGCCCUAAACGAUGAACACUCGCUGUUGGCGAUACACAGUCAGCGGCUAAGCGAAAGCGUUAAGUG
RNAcentral lists this ribosomal RNA (808 nucleotides) under uncultured bacterium. RNAcentral's name for it is "bacterial SSU rRNA". It matches the Rfam family "Bacterial small subunit ribosomal RNA", at positions 56 to 866 of the family's 1533-position model. The record is from RNAcentral.